Molecule: ribosomal RNA, 373 nt
Filed under: uncultured myxomycete
Lineage: Eukaryota; Evosea; Eumycetozoa
Description: SSU rRNA
Rfam family: Eukaryotic small subunit ribosomal RNA
Source: RNAcentral
UCUCUCUGAAUCUGCGUACGGCUCCGCAAACCAGUUGUACACUAUAGCAAGCAAGCUCAGGGCUGGCUCUCACGGGCUGGUCCUGGGCGAUAUGGAUAACCCUGGUAAUUCUGAGGCUAAUACAUGACCGUAGAACCUGGAGGACUGGCCUCGGCUGGGAAUCUGGGGGAUGUGCGACGUAUGCUUGGUGUUUCCGGGAAGGGGCGCAUGUUCAGACCACGCUAAAAAGGUCGGGUUCCUUCGGGAGCCUGUCCCAGUGGCUCUUGCUGUGUGCUUCUGACCUAUCAACUAGACGGCAGCCUAAUGGACAUGCUAUGGUGACAACGGGUACAGAGGAUUAGGGUUCGAUCCUGGAGAGUGGGCCUGAGAGAUG